This 334-nucleotide ribosomal RNA is filed under the name uncultured bacterium. Its description in RNAcentral is "bacterial SSU rRNA". It matches the Rfam family "Bacterial small subunit ribosomal RNA", at positions 8 to 334 of the family's 1533-position model. The record is from RNAcentral.
AGAGUUCGAUUAUGGCUCAGGAUGAACGCUGGCGGCGUGCUUAACACAUGCAAGUCGAACGAAGAUGCCGGAGUGCUUGCACUUUGGCAGACUGAGUGGCGGACGGGUGAGUAACGCGUGGGUAACCUGCCUUAUACAGGGGGAUAACAGUUGGAAACGACUGCUAAUACCGCAUGACGCAUAGAGGUCGCAUGAUCUUUAUGCCAAAGAUUUAUCGCUUCAAGAUGGCCUCGCGUCUGAUUAGCUAGUUGGCGGGGUAACGGCCCACCAAGGCGACGAUCAGUAGCCGGACUGAGAGGUUGAACGGCCACAUUGGGACUGAGAUACGGCCCAG